GGGCGCGUGGCCUAGCCCGGAUAUGGCGGCAGCCUCCUAAGCUGUAGGUCGGGGGUUCAAUUCCCCCCGCGCCCG
RNAcentral lists this transfer RNA (75 nucleotides) under Candidatus Methanoperedens sp. RNAcentral describes it as "tRNA-Arg". It matches the Rfam family "tRNA". Rfam says of the family: Transfer RNA (tRNA) molecules are approximately 80 nucleotides in length. Their secondary structure includes four short double-helical elements and three loops (D, anti-codon, and T loops). Further hydrogen bonds mediate the characteristic L-shaped molecular structure. tRNAs have two regions of fundamental functional importance: the anti-codon, which is responsible for specific mRNA codon recognition, and the 3' end, to which the tRNAs corresponding amino acid is attached (by aminoacyl-tRNA synthetases). tRNAs cope with the degeneracy of the genetic code in two manners: having more than one tRNA (with a specific anti-codon) for a particular amino acid; and 'wobble' base-pairing, i.e. permitting non-standard base-pairing at the 3rd anti-codon position. The record is from RNAcentral. Lineage: Archaea; Methanobacteriati; Methanobacteriota; Methanomicrobia; Methanosarcinales; Candidatus Methanoperedentaceae.